AGUGACGGCAGGCUGACUGAGUCAUGAGCCAUUCCUUUUCAGAUGGUUGGCAUCAGGCUGGAGUUACUUUGAGCACACUGCAGGACCAAUGCAACCUAAAUGAUAGCUGUAUGUAUGCUGUGGAGAGCAUGAGUAUUCUUUAUGAAUACUUGUUCCUAAACAGUCUACUUGAUGGACCCUGGGAUGAGAGUGAACUGUCUUCUGCUAGUCUGCAUCUCAAAGUUGCACUGCAAGCAGGACGAUGCCAGGAGUUCUCACAAUGCAUCUAACAGUUGGGAUUCGUUUGAGAACACUGAGAGACCAAUUGAACCUAAAUGGUCUGCUGGAGGCAACCCUUAAUGAUCUGGA
Molecule: long non-coding RNA, 348 nt
Organism: Fukomys damarensis (Damara mole-rat)
Lineage: Eukaryota; Metazoa; Chordata; Mammalia; Rodentia; Bathyergidae
Exons: 3
Source: RefSeq, a predicted model, not a curated record